RNAcentral lists this long non-coding RNA (1314 nucleotides) under Capra hircus (goat). RNAcentral describes it as "lncRNA (ENSCHIG00010026715.1)". Lineage: Eukaryota; Metazoa; Chordata; Mammalia; Artiodactyla; Bovidae. The record is from RNAcentral.
AAAAUAUCUGCAAUGGGGGAGAAUGAGUCAACUCCAAAGUUCACUCAUUGAACUUUGGGGCAGAGGCGGGUGAACUCCAAAGUUGCCAAUUUGGAAAACAGAGAAAAUGCAAACCUGUAGAUAGAUACUCAAUUUAGGGAGAGUUGUUUAUUAUUAUUAUUGUAACUAUAUUGUCAAUAGUGAAUUUUCACUCAGUUCUUACUAUGUGCUCAGCAGUGCUAAAAUUUACAAGCAUUGGUUCUGUGAGGGACAUACACACUCUAUGAGGAAAGUGCUAUUAUUAUCUUGUUUUACAGAUGGAGACAAAGAAGCUCAAGGAAAUUGGGUCCAGAAUGGUAGAGAAGAUGAUGGAUCUGUUUUGGAUAGAGUGAAUCAGUUCUCAAAGGGCAUCCCCAAAAAUCAGAAAUUGAACCUGUAGGAUAAAGUCAGGGCGAGCAGGGAAGAGGGGCAUGUAGAUCUCCACUAUUUGUUCAAUCAAUAAAUAAAAAUGUAGAAACAACACAAAAUCAGAAACUGACAUUAGGCAAGAUCAGGACUGAAAAGUAGCUUUGAGAACCAGGUGGUGCUGAAGACAGGGGUGUGGAUGUGAAUGAAAAACCUUCAGUGAUCAGAGCCCAGAGUGGGCUUGAGUGCUAAGUCGCUUCAGUCUUGUCCAGUUUUUGCAUCUCCAUGAUUGCAGCCUGCUGAGCUCCUCUGUCCAUGGGAUUCUCCAGGACAUGGUGGCUGAUUGGGCUGAGGAUCUACUGUGCACCCUGAGGGGAGGAAAGAGAGGCCCAGCGAGGAAGGCGAGAGGGAGACCAGAGCAGAAGGCUGCAGCAGAGUCUGAAUGGAUCCCCUCCUAUGCAUAUCAGGCCAGAGGCUGAAAGCAAAGCAUCAGUAACCGCCCCAGAAAGAAAAACCUGGAAAUGUUUUCAUCUCAUUUUCAAGGAGGACUUUUUACCCUAAAGACAGUCAGCAAAUGGAGAUGGCGGUAUCAGAACAACAAACUAGCAUUUCUUUCUUCUUUUUAAAAAGAAACACGAUUGUUUUGUCUCUGACUUACUCAUGUGCAGUGCGGAAAGAGGAAAUAGAGGCUGGUGAGGUAGAAGGAGCUGUCCUGCUGCUAAGUCCAAACAUUGGUGCUAAGAAGUCCCCAGACAGAUGGAGGACAUUCAUUCAGCACAGAAAUCGUGACAGAGAAGAAGUAAAGCCAAGAAAUACUGGCCUGGAAGUAACAUUAGAGGAAGCUAAGCAUCAAGAUCAGUGCUCCUGCCAUAACCCGAAUGGUAACAACAUUCCGACUGACUAAAUGUGGAAUUUCAUCUUUGGCCGCCG